RNAcentral lists this ribosomal RNA (484 nucleotides) under uncultured bacterium. Its description in RNAcentral is "partial 16S ribosomal RNA". It matches the Rfam family "Bacterial small subunit ribosomal RNA", at positions 30 to 507 of the family's 1533-position model. The record is from RNAcentral.
AUUGAACGCUGGCGGCAGGCCUAACACAUGCAAGUCGAGCGGAUGAAGGGAGCUUGCUCCUGGAUUCAGCGGCGGACGGGUGAGUAAUGCCUAGGAAUCUGCCUGGUAGUGGGGGAUAACGUCCGGAAACGGGCGCUAAUACCGCAUACGUCCUGAGGGAGAAAGUGGGGGAUCUUCGGACUUCCGGCUUUCAGAUGGCCCUAGGUCGGAUUAGCUAGUUGGUGGGGUAAAGGCCUACCAAGGCGACGAUCCGUAACUGGUCUGAGAGGAUGAUCAGUCACACUGGAACUGAGACACGGUCCAGACUCCUACGGGAGGCAGCAGUGGGGAAUAUUGGACAAUGGGCGAAAGCCUGAUCCAGCCAUGCCGCGUGUGUGAAGAAGGUCUUCGGAUUGUAAAGCACUUUAAGUUGGGAGGAAGGGCAGUAAGUUAAUACCUUGCUGUUUUGACGUUACCAACAGAAUAAGCACCGGCUAACUUCGUG